Small nuclear RNA from Psammomys obesus (fat sand rat), 102 nucleotides. NCBI's taxonomy places the organism in Eukaryota, Metazoa, Chordata, Mammalia, Rodentia, Muridae. The record is from RefSeq and is a predicted model, not a curated record.
GUGCUUGCUUCAGCAACACAUACACUAAAAUUGGAACAAUACAGAUUAGCAUGGCCCCUACACAAGAAUGACACGCAAAUUCCUGAAGCAUUCCAUAUUUUU